UACGGAGGAUGCAAGCGUUAUCCGGAUUUAUUGGGUUUAAAGGGUGCGCAGGUUGUUUGAUAAGUCAGUGGUGAAAGUCUGUCGCUUAACGGUAGGAUUGCCAUUGAUACUGUUAGACUUGAAUAUGGAUGAGGUAGGCGGAAUGUGUAGUGUAGCGGUGAAAUGCAUAGAUAUUACACAGAACACCGAUUGCGAAGGCAGCUUACUAAACCAUAACUGACGCUCAGGCACGAAGGCGUGGGGAUCAAACAGGAUUAGA
Molecule: ribosomal RNA, 259 nt
Filed under: uncultured prokaryote
Description: partial 16S ribosomal RNA
Rfam family: Bacterial small subunit ribosomal RNA
Source: RNAcentral